Molecule: ribosomal RNA, 484 nt
Filed under: uncultured bacterium
Lineage: Bacteria
Description: bacterial SSU rRNA
Rfam family: Bacterial small subunit ribosomal RNA
Source: RNAcentral
GACGAACGCUGGCGGCGUGCCUAACACAUGCAAGUCGAACGGAGAUGUUGAUUUCGGUUGACGUCUUAGUGGCGAACGGGUGAGUAACGCGUGAACAAUCUGACCUUAAGAGGGGGAUAACAACGAGAAAUCGUUGCUAAUACCGCAUAAGACCACAAUGCCGCAUGGCGAAGGGGUCAAAGGAGCAAUCCGCUUAAGGAGGGUUCGCGUCCCAUUAGGUAGUAGGUGAGGUAACGGCCCACCUAGCCGACGAUGGGUAGCCGAGCUGAGAGGCUGAUCGGCCACACUGGAACUGAGACACGGUCCAGACUCCUACGGGAGGCAGCAGUGGGGAAUAUUGGGCAAUGGGCGCAAGCCUGACCCAGCAACGCCGCGUGAGGGAAGAAGGUUUUCGGAUUGUAAACCUCUGUCGCAGAUGACGAAACAAAUGACGGUAAUCUGUGAGGAAGCCCCGGCUAACUAACGUGCCAGCAGCCGCGGUAAU